This 325-nucleotide ribosomal RNA is filed under the name uncultured eukaryote. Its description in RNAcentral is "partial 18S ribosomal RNA". It matches the Rfam family "Eukaryotic small subunit ribosomal RNA", at positions 1470 to 1796 of the family's 1831-position model. The record is from RNAcentral.
CCCUUAGAUGUUCUGGGCCGCACGCGCGCUACACUGAUGCAUUCAACGAGCCUAUCCUUGACCGACAGGUCCGGGUAAUCUUUGAAUCUGCAUCGUGACGGGGAUAGAUUAUUGCAAUUCUUAAUCUUCAACGAGGAAUGCCUAGUAGGCGCAAGUCAUCAGCUUGCGUCGAUUACGUCCCUGCCCUUUGUACACACCGCCCGUCGCUCCUACCGAUUGGGUGUGCUGGUGAAAUGUUCGGAUCGGCCGUUUGUCGCGGUUUCCGCGUCAUGUGGCUGAGAAGUUCAUUAAACCCUCCCACCUAGAGGAAGGAGAAGUCGUAACA